UGAAUUCCAUGACAGCGAGUUCAAAGGGAAUAAUUUAAAAUCAGGACAGGAGAAAGCUAUUGAAGACAAAGCACAAAGGAAGCAGGUGGCCAUGACUUCUGCUACUGUCAAACAAGGAUAGGAGAAAAGCUCAUAUGUGACAACAACAACAACAACAACAACAACAACAAGACUUGUCAAUAGAAGCCCUGAAGAUGUGUGUUCAGAAGCACCAGUGGGAGCAGCAAGGCUUCUCACCACCUUUCAAAGUGAAGGCUGAGUGUUCCUGCUGAGCUGCCCCAGAGACAAACACCACCCCCCGCCCCUCACUGGAAGCCUAUCAAGGAAAAAUUAUGGACCCAGUGACUGGAGUGGGACCCUGAGAAGAGUUUGGGGCAGUAAAUCAGUCUUAUGAACAAAUCUCUUCUUAAGACAUAUGCCUGGAAUUCUCAAGAUGUGCUUGGAAUUCUUGUGGUUUUGCCUCUGGAAGAAGAAGUUCCUUCCAGAGCCAGGAAGCUGACUCCCACUACCCUGGGGCUCAGGAGUAC
Non-coding RNA from Ictidomys tridecemlineatus (thirteen-lined ground squirrel), 527 nucleotides. Lineage: Eukaryota; Metazoa; Chordata; Mammalia; Rodentia; Sciuridae. The record is from RefSeq and is a predicted model, not a curated record.